UAUCUCUCCGUACGGGGAAGGAUGAGAAGCUUCGAAUAAGGUUCGAUUCGAGCGAAAGCGAGAAAGCGUUGCCGCAGGCAACGACCCGAAGGGCGAAGCGC
This 101-nucleotide small RNA is filed under the name Salmonella enterica. Its description in RNAcentral is "partial RtT sRNA". It matches the Rfam family "RtT RNA", at positions 1 to 99 of the family's 130-position model. From Rfam's summary of the family: This family represents a bacterial cis-regulatory element known as RtT RNA. RNAcentral also lists the same sequence under 1 other name. The record is from RNAcentral. Lineage: Bacteria; Pseudomonadati; Pseudomonadota; Gammaproteobacteria; Enterobacterales; Enterobacteriaceae.